This 766-nucleotide ribosomal RNA is filed under the name uncultured Lactarius. RNAcentral's name for it is "eukaryotic LSU rRNA". It matches the Rfam family "Eukaryotic large subunit ribosomal RNA", at positions 216 to 962 of the family's 3401-position model. Lineage: Eukaryota; Fungi; Basidiomycota; Agaricomycetes; Russulales; Russulaceae. The record is from RNAcentral.
GAAUCCCGUCUUUGGCACGGAUGCCUGGUGCUUCUGUGAUGCGCUCUCGAAGAGUCGAGUUGUUUGGGAAUGCAGCUCAAAAUGGGUGGUGAACUCCAUCUAAAGCUAAAUAUUGGCGAGAGACCGAUAGCGAACAAGUACCGUGAGGGAAAGAUGAAAAGCACUUUGGAAAGAGAGUGAAACAGUACGUGAAAUUGUUGAAAGGGGAACGCUUGAAGUCAGUCGCGUCGACCGAGACUCAGCCUCGCCUUGGCUUGGUGUACUUCUCGGCACGACGGGUCAGCAUCAAUUUUGCCCCUCGGAUAAUGGCAGGGGAAAGGUGGCACCUUUACGGGUGUGUUAUAGUCUUCUGUCGCAUGCGAGGGGUGGGAUUGAGGAACUCAGCGCGCACCUCAGUGUCGGGGCUUCGGCCCACGUCACGCGCUUAGGAUGCUGGCGUAAUGGCUUUAAACGACCCGUCUUGAAACACGGACCAAGGAGUCCAACACGCCCGCGAGUGUUCGGGUGGAAAACCCGUGCGCGUAAUGGAAGUGAAAGUUGGGACCUCUGUCGUGGAGGGCACCGACGCCCGGACCAGACCUUCUGUGACGGAUCUGCGGUAGAGCAUGCAUGUUGGGACCCGAAAGAUGGUGAACUAUGCCUGAAUAGGGUGAAGCCAGAGGAAACUCUGGUGGAGGCUCGUAGCGAUUCUGACGUGCAAAUCGAUCGUCAAAUUUGGGUAUAGGGGCGAAAGACUAAUCGAACCAUCUAGUAGCUGGUUCCUGCC